Molecule: long non-coding RNA, 377 nt
Organism: Myotis davidii
Lineage: Eukaryota; Metazoa; Chordata; Mammalia; Chiroptera; Vespertilionidae
Exons: 3
Source: RefSeq, a predicted model, not a curated record
UCCUCGGGGCCAAGGGGAACAUCCUUCUUUUCUCGCACUUGGUCCUUGCCCCUAACCACGGCUCCUCUUGAUGAAACAGACGAUGAGCAGGAUCAGCACCAGGAGGGCGAUGGCGCACAUGAGCCCGAUGAACCAGCCCUGGGUGACGAUGUCGGGCUGGUUGUUGGUGUAAGCUGCGGGGAGGCCAGAAGCAAACACGUGAAGGACCUCGCAUGGGGGAAGGUGAGGAGGGAGAGGUGAGGAAAGAACUGCAGCUACUUCACAGGGAUGUUAUUCCCAGAGCCUCAUGCUACCAGCUAGCAGCCCUCCGGCCCACACUAGGCAAUACAGAGACAAAGAAAAAAUAAUUAAGGAGCCAAGGUCAAAAGGUUGGAAAA